GAAUUGCGAUAUGUAAUGUGAAUUGCAGAAUUCAGUGAAUCAUCGAAUCUUUGAACGCACAUUGCACCUUUUGGUAUUCCGAAAGGUAUGCCUGUUUGAGUAUCAUUAAUCUCUCAACGCUAUGGUUUUUAUUAACUGUAUGUGCUUGGAUUUUGAAGGUUUGCUGGCGUUAUUGUCAGCUCCUUUUAAAUGUAUUAGCAGGACUUGUUAGACCAGCUUCGGUUUGAUAAUAAUUCUUAUCUAUGCUGUCGCUGAGAAACUAUUGUUCCGCUUCUAAUUGUCUACAUUUGUAGACUGUCUCUUAUGAGGCAUUACUUGAAUCUUGAUCUCAAAUCAGGUAGGACUACCCGCUGAACUUAA
This 360-nucleotide unclassified non-coding RNA is filed under the name uncultured Clavariaceae. RNAcentral describes it as "sequence contains ITS1". The stretch from base 1 to 105 matches the Rfam family "5.8S ribosomal RNA", at positions 50 to 154 of the family's 154-position model. Lineage: Eukaryota; Fungi; Basidiomycota; Agaricomycetes; Agaricales; Clavariaceae. The record is from RNAcentral.